CUCCGGGGGGCAGCCGUGGGGAAUAUUGCACCAUGGGCGCAAGCCUGCUGCCGCCAUGCCGCGUGUGUGAAGAAGGCCUUCGGGUUGUAAAGCACUUUCAGCGGGGAGGAAGGCGUUAAGGUUAAUAACCUUGUCGAUUGACGUUACCCGCAGAAGAAGCACCGGCUAACUCCGUGCCAGCAGCCGCGGUAAUACGGAGGGUGCAAGCGUUAAUCGGAAUUACUGGGCGUAAAGCGCACGCAGGCGGUCUGUCAAGUCGGAUGUGAAAUCCCCGGGCUCAACCUGGGAACUGCAUUCGAAACUGGCAGGCUAGAGUCUUGUAGAGGGGGGUAGAAUUCCAGGUGUAGCGGUGAAAUGCGUAGAGAUCUGGAGGAAUACCGGUGGCGAAGGCGGCCCCCUGGACAAAGACUGACGCUCAGGUGCGAAAGCGUGGGGAGCAAACAGGAUUAGAUACCCCUGUAGUC
This 464-nucleotide ribosomal RNA is filed under the name uncultured Klebsiella sp. RNAcentral's name for it is "bacterial SSU rRNA". It matches the Rfam family "Bacterial small subunit ribosomal RNA", at positions 339 to 795 of the family's 1533-position model. Lineage: Bacteria; Pseudomonadati; Pseudomonadota; Gammaproteobacteria; Enterobacterales; Enterobacteriaceae. The record is from RNAcentral.